UUUGAAAAUAAUUUAAAGUAGGGCCUGCCCACUGAGUAAUUGAAGGGCCGCAGUAUUUUGACUGUGCAAAGGUAGCAUAAUCAUUAGUUUUUUAAUUGAAAGCUUGUAUGAAUGGUUUGAUGAGAAAGAAACUUUCUAUAUUUAAUUUUUUAAUAAUUUUAUUUUUAAGUUAAAAAGCUUAAAUUUUUUUAAUAGACGAGAAGACCCUAUAGAGUUUAAUUUUUAAAUAAAUUUUAACUUUAAGGAUUUUAUAGAUAUAAUUUAAAUAAUAAUUUGAUUGGGGUGAUUGAAAAAUUAAAAUAACUUUUUUUAUAUUUUUACAUAUAUUUAUGAAUUAUUGAUCCAUAUAAAUGAUUAAAAGAAUAAAUUACCUUAGGGAUAACAGCGUUAUUUUUUUUUAGAGUUCAAAUCGAAAAAAGAGAUUGCGACCUCGAUGUUGGAUUAAAAUUUAUUUUAGGUGCAGAAGCUUAAAAAUUUGGUCUGUUCGACCAUUAAAAUUUUACA
Molecule: ribosomal RNA, 504 nt
Filed under: Myzia oblongoguttata
Lineage: Eukaryota; Metazoa; Arthropoda; Insecta; Coleoptera; Coccinellidae
Description: partial large subunit ribosomal RNA
Rfam family: Bacterial large subunit ribosomal RNA (bases 378-504)
Source: RNAcentral